Molecule: ribosomal RNA, 193 nt
Filed under: Bacillus sp. ML3
Lineage: Bacteria; Bacillati; Bacillota; Bacilli; Caryophanales; Bacillaceae
Description: partial 16S rRNA
Source: RNAcentral
AACCUCCGUCGUCAUCCCUUAGAAGGCGUUACCUGCUUUCAGACUGCCUCGUUGCGGCGCACUCACUACUUCCGAAAGCCCAGCAUUUUGAGACAACAAUCCCUUCUUGUUCACGAUCAACUUAUUCGACCGUGGAACUGCCAUGGAUUGGUCUUUCGGUGCCGAUUGAUGCACGGUCGUCGGCGCCAUUAUG